UCCGGUUUAUCACCGGCAGUCUCCACAGAGUUCUCGACUCUACUCGUUAGCAACUGUGGACAAGGGUUGCGCUCGUUGCGGGACUUAACCCAACAUCUCACGACACGAGCUGACGACAGCCAUGCACCACCUGUGAAAGUGCCCCGAAGGGAGACUGUGUUUCCACAGCUGUCACAAACAUGUCAAGCCCAGGUAAGGUUCUUCGCGUUGCGUCGAAUUAAACCACAUGCUCCGCUGCUUGUGCGGGUCCCCGUCAAUUCCUUUGAGUUUUAGCCUUGCGGCCGUACUCCCCAGGCGGGGUACUUAGUGCGUUAGCGUCGGCACAGGGGGAGUCGACACCCCCUACACCUAGUACCCAUCGUUUACGGCGUGGACUAC
RNAcentral lists this unclassified non-coding RNA (378 nucleotides) under uncultured Thermoleophilia bacterium. RNAcentral describes it as "contains 16S-23S intergenic spacer region". The record is from RNAcentral. Lineage: Bacteria; Bacillati; Actinomycetota; Thermoleophilia.